Long non-coding RNA from Dermacentor albipictus, 1782 nucleotides. RefSeq lists it as uncharacterized. NCBI's taxonomy places the organism in Eukaryota, Metazoa, Arthropoda, Arachnida, Ixodida, Ixodidae. The record is from RefSeq and is a predicted model, not a curated record.
CUCGUUGCGAAUUUCCGCGAUGCGUACAUUCCACUGCCUCUACUGUGCUCUCCGCCUCGGGACCACAUUCAGCUAACAGACCAUUGUCAAGGAAUACGAAUUCGGAGCAGCAAAAAUCACAAGUCAAGAAACACCUCAAACGGACUAAGUCAGUCAUGAGUGACAGCGCCCACCGCAUAAUAUACACACAUGCAGCAUGCUCGUCAUAGGAUCGAGGCUUCGCGAUAUGUGAUACAGAAUAUAUAGCCAGUGAACACUGUUCCAUUCAACGUGCAGUCCCAUACACCCGGCGCCGAGGUAGAAAUCAUAGACACGUCUAGAUUAUUGCAUGUACAGUUUAGAGCAAAAGCUUUUGGGACCAAAAGUGCUGAUAAACAUGUUUCUUCGCAGCCUAGCCAAAGAUAAGUGCCGCGCUAUGUGCACCAUUUUGCGUCGAAAUAGAAAUACUGAUACAUGCUGCGCCGAAUUGCGCCUUUUCGCGUAAGUUGCCUCACGCCUGUGCGAAGGCGCACAUGAGCGGCGUAACCUCUCACAUUCACACAAUAUGCGGGGUUGUAAUAGUUCCAAAACUUUUGGUAUGAUAUCUUUGCAACCAAGCCGAGCGGUACCUGCGGUGAUAGCAGCACGCUCGACUUCCUUGUGAUCGCAUCGGGGCCGCAUUUAAGUGCGCAAAGACGCUGAAGCGCAGGAGUUUGCCGACUUGUGUGGGUCCCUGCACGCCUGGCUUUAAACCGCAAUGGCCCUUUCGAAGCCUAAAGGUCGUCACAGCAAAUUUUAUAAUGUACAAGUUCUCAGCGAGGUUGAAGCCAGUGGAGAAACCAUCACUAGUUACUGCGCCGGAGGCAUCAAAGAAACCUUGUGCAUCUUCUGCGACGCAGUCAUUAGCUGUUCACAGCACGGAGUAACCGCGUCACGCUGCGAAUAAGCGCCACAUUGAAUGUCUGCAACCAACAAAGGAAUGUGCUGGCGAUCCUUAAGAACCCUGCUACAGUCAAAUUCAACUGUAGUCAUGUUCUCAUCUGGACCAGGACUCUCAGAAGUGGACCGCGCUUCUCGAACGGAAGCAUAUUUUGAACUUCGAGUUUCCAUGUCUGGAUACCUAUUCAUUCUGGGAUGCAGCCACAUGGAUUAUGCCGUUGAUGUCCCCUUACUCCAAAAUUGCCGGAGAGUUCCAGUGUGGGCGAAAUAAGAUUUUUCGCAUAAUAUCGGAUGGUUUAGGACCCUACCCUAAGAAAGCAGUCAUGCGAACUUAACAAGGCAAACACGUAACAUUACACGAUGUUGAAUGCUGAAACACCCCUCCCAGAAUGCUGCCAACAGCUGGACGUCAUCGUCACACACCUUUUCGGUGCACAAAAACGUGUUGUAGUUCAGGAUCUGCACUCCUUUCACUUGGGCUAUGCAACAGCAGGUAUCAUUCUAGCGCGUGUAAAAUAUCCAAACUUUGCCUCAGAGAAACAUGCUUUACAUUUGCAGUGAUGGGCCCAAUGUCAUGUUGACGUUGAAGAAACGUUUAAAUGAGGACGUAGAUCCUACUUUGCUGGAUAUGAAUCAAUGCAAUUCGCACAAAGUGCACAUAGCAAAUUUUGUAGCACCUUUACAGGCCUAAAGAAUCAAAUAAAGUGCAGUCUAGAAGUACAGAUUUCAAUUUAGUGGCUCGCUGAUAAAUUUCACGGUGAUAUUGAGUUGCAUUUUUAGUGCUGAAUAAUCUGUGACGUUGUAUUUUCAUUGUGAUAAUAAAUAUUCCUGUGACACUGUUAUAAUGUGCAAAAGAAAAACUGU